Molecule: ribosomal RNA, 426 nt
Filed under: uncultured Actinomycetes bacterium
Lineage: Bacteria; Bacillati; Actinomycetota; Actinomycetes
Description: bacterial SSU rRNA
Rfam family: Bacterial small subunit ribosomal RNA
Source: RNAcentral
GCGGCCUAUCAGCUUGUUGGUGAGGUAAUGGCUCACCAAGGCGACGACGGGUAGCCGGCCUGAGAGGGCGACCGGCCACACUGGGACUGAGACACGGCCCAGACUCCUACGGGAGGCAGCAGUGGGGAAUAUUGGGCAAUGGAGGAAACUCUGACCCAGCGACGCCGCGUGCGGGAUGAAGGCCUUCGGGUUGUAAACCGCUUUCAGCAGGGAAUAAGCGCAAGUGAAGGUACCUGCAGAAGAAGCACCGGCUAACUAUGUGCCAGCAGCCGCGGUAAUACAUAGGGUGCAAGCGUUGUCCGGAAUUAUUGGGCGUAAAGAGCUCGUAGGUGGUUCGUCACGUCGGAUGUGAAAAUCUGGGGCUCAACCCCAGACCUGCAUUCGAUACGAGCGAGCUAGAGUUUGGUAGGGGAGACUGGAAUUCCU